UCUCGAUUGGUCUAGUGGUAAGGAUACCUGCUUGUCAAUUGAUGCAAUUCGCAGGUGGCCGGGGUUCGAUUCCCCGAUCGAGAG
Molecule: transfer RNA, 84 nt
Filed under: Xylaria arbuscula
Lineage: Eukaryota; Fungi; Ascomycota; Sordariomycetes; Xylariales; Xylariaceae
Description: tRNA-Asp
Rfam family: tRNA
About the family: Transfer RNA (tRNA) molecules are approximately 80 nucleotides in length.
Source: RNAcentral